The submitters of this non-coding RNA (139 nucleotides) gave its source as unclassified sequences. The record is from Rfam.
AAUUUAACUGAGGGCGUAAGUUCUCAGCACUCAUCAAGAAGUAGGCUUAGGCCAAUUGCUUGGUGGUGAAAGUAGAGGGAAGGUAGCACUUCGACGCCUCUAAGUACGCUGUGGGAGUAGUGCUUAAAUCACACGGCAA